Molecule: ribosomal RNA, 465 nt
Filed under: uncultured bacterium
Lineage: Bacteria
Description: partial 16S ribosomal RNA
Rfam family: Bacterial small subunit ribosomal RNA
Source: RNAcentral
GACGAACGCUGGCGGCGUGCUUAACACAUGCAAGUCGUACGGUAAGGCCCUUUCGGGGGUACACGAGUGGCGAACGGGUGAGUAACACGUGAGUAACCUGCCCACAACUUUGGGAUAACGCUAGGAAACUGGUGCUAAUACUGGAUAUGUGCUCCUGCUGCAUGGAGGGGGUUGGAAAGCUCCGGCGGUUGUGGAUGGACUCGCGGCCUAUCAGCUUGUUGGUGGGGUAGUGGCCUACCAAGGCGGCGACGGGUAGCCGGCCUGAGAGGGUGACCGGCCACAUUGGGACUGAGAUACGGCCCAGACUCCUACGGGAGGCAGCAGUGGGGAAUAUUGCACAAUGGGCGCAAGCCUGAUGCAGCAACGCCGCGUGCGGGAUGACGGCCUUCGGGUUGUAAACCGAUUUCAGCAGGGACGAAGCUUUUUGUGACGGUACCUGCAGAAGAAGCACCGGCUAACUACGUG